CCUACGGGAGGCAGCAGUGGGGAAUAUUGGGCAAUGGAGGAAACUCUGACCCAGCAACGCCGCGUGAAUGAUGAAGGUCUUCGGAUUGUAAAGUUCUUUUCUAAGGGAAGAAGAAAGUGACGGUACCUUAGGAAUAAGCCUCGGCUAACUACGUGCCAGCAGCCGCGGUAAUACGUAGGAGGCAAGCGUUAUCCGGAAUGACUGGGCGUAAAGGGUGCGUAGGUGGUUUGACAAGUUGGUAGCGUAACUCCGGGGCUCAACCUCGGCACUACUACCAAAACUGUCGGACUUGAGUGCAGGAGGGGCAAAUGGAAUUCCUAGUGUAGCGGUGGAAUGCGUAGAUAUUAGGAGGAACACCAGUGGCGAAGGCAGCAUACCGGCGGCGAUCUGACGCUGAGGCACGAAAGCGUGGGUAUCGAACAGGAUUAGAUACCCUAGUAGUC
Molecule: ribosomal RNA, 443 nt
Filed under: uncultured bacterium
Lineage: Bacteria
Description: partial 16S ribosomal RNA
Rfam family: Bacterial small subunit ribosomal RNA
Source: RNAcentral